Molecule: ribosomal RNA, 449 nt
Filed under: uncultured bacterium
Lineage: Bacteria
Description: partial 16S ribosomal RNA
Rfam family: Bacterial small subunit ribosomal RNA
Source: RNAcentral
AACGAACGCUGGCGGCAUGCCUAACACAUGCAAGUCGAACGAGACCUUCGGGUCUAGUGGCGCACGGGUGCGUAACGCGUGGGAAUCUACCCUUUGGUUCGGAAUAUCAGUUAGAAAUGACGGCUAAUACCGGAUGAUGACGUAAGUCCAAAGAUUGACCGCCCAAGGAUGAGCCCGCGUAAGAUUAGCUUGUUGGUGGGGUAAUGGCCUACCAAGGCGACGAUCUUUAGCUGGUCUGAGAGGAUGAUCAGCCACACUGGGACUGAGACACGGCCCAGACUCCUACGGGAGGCAGCAGUGGGGAAUAUUGGACAAUGGGCGAAAGCCUGAUCCAGCAAUGCCGCGUGAGUGAUGAAGGCCUUAGGGUUGUAAAGCUCUUUUACCAGGGAUGAUAAUGACAGUACCUGGAGAAUAAGCUCCGGCUAACUCCGUGCCAGCCGCCGCGGUAA